AUGUCGUCGUCCAGGAGCAGCUCACCGGCGAUGCAACGGAGGCUUGUGCUGGUGGCACUGCCUCUGCUCCUCUCCUGCGUCGUCGACGGGCAGGUGGUGCCGGCGGUGAUCUCGUUCGGCGACUCGACCAUCGACGUGGGCAACAACAACUACCUCCCCGGCGCCGUCUUCAAGGCCAACUACGCGCCGUACGGGGAGAACUUCCGGCGCCACAGGGCCACCGGCAGGUUCUCCGACGGCAAGAUCGUCACCGACAUCACCGCUGAAACGCUCGGCUUCGAGGGCUACGCGCCGCCGUACCUGAGCCCGCUGGCGUCGGGGAAGAACCUGCUCACCGGCGCCAACUUCGGCUCCGCCGCGUCCAGCUACUCCGACGACACGGCGGCCAUGUAUGACGCAAUCACGCUGUCGCAGCAGCUCAAGUACUACAAGGAGUACAGGUCGAAGCUGGCGGCGGUGGCCGGUCGGCGGCAGGCGCGCACCAUCCUCGCCGAGGCGCUGUACGUCGUGAGCACCGGCACGGGCGACUUCAUCCAGAACUACUACCACAACGCCUCCCUGUCCGCCCGCUACGACGUCGACCGCUACUGCGACCUCCUCGUCGGCAUCUUCUCCGGCUUCGCCGACGAGCUGUACAGGCUGGGGGCGCGGCGGAUCGGCGUGACGACGAUGCCACCGCUGGGGUGCCUGCCGGCGACGAUCAGGCUGUACGGCAAGGGCCGGAGCCGCACCGGGUGCCUGCCGAGGCUCAACCGUGACGCCGAGACCUUCAACCGGAAGCUGAACGCCACCGUGGGGGCGCUGGUGAGGCGGCACGCGGGGCUCAAGGUGGCCGUCUUCGACGUCUACACGCCGCUCCGGGGCCUCUCCGAGAGGCCGGCCGCGCACGGCUUCGCGGAGGCCAGGAGGACGUGCUGCCGGACGGGGAAGGCCGGGACGAGGGUGUACCUCUGUGACCCGGCGACGGCGGCCCGGAUGUGCCGGAACGCCAGCAGCUACGUGUACUUCGACGGCGUGCACCCGUCGGAGGCGGCCAACCUGGUCGUCGCCGAGUCCCUGGUGUCGGCCGGCAUCGACUUGCUCACCUAG
This 1089-nucleotide ribosomal RNA is filed under the name Triticum aestivum (bread wheat). RNAcentral describes it as "partial small subunit ribosomal RNA". Lineage: Eukaryota; Viridiplantae; Streptophyta; Magnoliopsida; Poales; Poaceae. The record is from RNAcentral.